AUAAAAUAGUUAUACUUAUAAGCAACUUUAUAUUGAGUUAACCCAACUAUAAAACAACAACUAAAAUUGUUUGAUGCAUUUAACUUUUCCUUUAGGUAACGGCAACUAACAAUACAAAUCUAGAUUAGCUAUAAUAAGUUAGCACAACUGAAAUAUGAUAACCAAUUAAGUUUUAGGUAACCACAGAAUAAUGUUAUUCACCAGUUAAUCAUCUCUAAGGUGAGAUUAUUUACUGCCAACACACAGUUUCCGUAUUUAUGUUGUUUUUUCACACAUAAACUAUUUUAAUCUAACUGGAUUAGUAGCUGUAGGUGGUCUAAUAAUAGAAAUGGAUAGUUUGAGUAGGAGGGUCUUAUUAAUUGAAAUAAUUCUUGAGUAAGUUCAUUAAUAAUAUUUAGUGUAAUCAUUACCAGGCUAUGAUAACAUAUGCUAUCUAUUUAUAUUUUUCCUAUAUUUCAUUAACUAAUUAAACUUAACAAGAUAAAAUUAUUUAUUUAUAAAUAAAACAAUAACAUCUGCAGUUAUCAGAAAACCAGUUAAAGAAAUACAUACGCGGGUACUUAUACCUACCUUUCGUCGAUGUUUAGACUUUCUUUUUGAUAUUUCGAUGACAAUUAUAAAGUUAGGUUACCUAUGAAUUUUUGUGGUUUCUUGUUGUGACGAUGUAACAAUUAGAUUUUCAAUAAAAUUGAAAUUUGAUUAAUUUGAAGUAAGUACUAAAUAAUUAAUUCCAAAAAAGGCACAAUAUAAAGUGCCCAGUAUUUGUUAUUGUACAAACCAUGGCUGUAGAUAGAACAGCAGCUAUUCCAUCGGAUCUUUAGUCGUUAUGGUAACGUCUAUAAACGUAUUCAGGAGGACAAAGAAGGCGUUUUACGAAAAAUUGGAGCGAAUGCACAGUGCAUACACCCUCUCCGCCAGUCCCUCUCAAAUGACACCGAGUAGGUACCUAUAUAUACACACUUUAUAAAGUGUAUAACAGUGACAGACGACAGUUGUAUACGACACUCGGGCAACACUUAUAAUCACGACAUUCUUACAAUUAUUCAUAUUAUAUAUAACAAUAGGUAGGUAAUAAUAAUUGUGUGUAGGUAUACAAAACAUACCUACUAUAAUAGAAGUACAAUAGUUCUGUACAUAAAUAGGGACCAAUACAGUAAUAGGGAGACAAAAUGAUUAGAUACUGGUGAGUACCUAGGACCCAGCGAUGAUAAAUAUAAUUUAUAGCAAUAGGUAAUUAUCACGUUUUAAGAUAUUAUGCACUUAAAUAAAAAUUUAUCUUAAAUCGUGGAAGUGUCAAAUGAUAGUGAUAGAAUAAAUGAGAAAAUUAAAAAUAUCAGGAGUCAGGACUCAGGAGAUUUCAUAGAAUUAAGUUACAUUAUAAAUUAGUAGAUUAUAAUAGUCUUCGUGUAAAUGCGUAAUCACUGCCUACAACGAUACCAGUAUUUUGUAAUUAACUGUAUAUGGAUGUAAGUGCACCUUUUCAGUUCGAAAUGUUUAAUGUGGAUAUUUAAUCGUCAACAAAAAUGCAUACUCAAAACUAUGAAAUUAGACAUUUUUCCAUAAUUUAAUCGAGCCUUCAGAUGUACCUAAGCGUGAAAAAAACUGAUUUGCUUUUGGAACUAAUUUUUGUUUGUGAGAGAAGUGUUUGUAUAUUUUCCAAUAAUUAGGAGUUUAUAAUCUCGUCGUAAUUUCGGAUACGUAGUGAACAUUUGUAUGCAAUACUAUUAAUUAGAAAUAACUAGGCAAUCGACUCUAAGGAUUACAACGCAUUCUUAUUUAUAUGUUAUUUUGGCUCCAUCCUUAUUGCAGGUUCCCAUAACAGAAAAUGGACAUCCUAGUUAGUUCCCUAUAGAUACAUUCGAAUUGAAACAUAAUUUAUAUUAAACUACAAAGUACCUAGUGACAAAUAACAGAACAAUAAGACUAAAAGUAAAGAAAUGUAUACACAGAAAUGGGCAUUUAAUAAAAAAGACUGGAAUUUCUAACUCCGUAAAAUAAAACGUUUAUUAUUAGUAUUAUUAUUAGUUUUGUACAUUUAAUUUAAAACAAAAAUUAGGAAACAUAAAAAAUAAAAAAUUAUCCUUCGUAAAAACUCGGGAACCAAUUCGAAUAUACCCUGCGAAACAACCCGGAAGUUUCGGAACCAUUUCGAACGCACCCGUUAUUUUUAACAAAGUAGUACCGGCCUAUUUGAACACAUUAUACACUUUAUUUAAAAAUUGUACAAAUAUAGCAGUAUAAUAUGCACAUGGUAAUAUAUCUGUAUCAGCUAUCGUGCAUGAAAUGCCACCAUAGGUUCAUCACGUGUAAUUUCUUUGUCAGUCAAACGUGAGCAAAGUGCAAAUUAAUAAUUAACCAAUAGGCACCUAUAAUUUAUUAUCAGUCAUGUGUCAGACUUCUCAUACCAAUCUGGAUUGGCCCGAAAAUAUUAAGUGCAUGUUUUUUUAUACACCUUUAUAAAUAAAAAUAACUUACUACGAACAUUCAAUAUAAAACGUAGGUAAAUGUCAGGAAGAGAGUGCUUGAUAAAUGGAAUAAUUCAAGGUUCACGGGGGCGAAAUUGAUACACAAUAAUACGUAACAAUUAGCAUUACUUACAAGCACGAUGUUUGCGAUUUGAUUAAUUUGAUUGAUUAACAUUUACGCAUGUAGGCCAGUGUUGAUGAAUAAUAAACGCCUCAUCUAAUCUCCGACAUCUAGAUAUCACGUGAUCUACUAAAUUUUAAUAGUUAUAUACACAACAACAGAAUGAAUGUGUCAUCGCAUUAUUGAAUACCCAGGAGCUAAACAAUUUUCAUAAAGAUUAUAGAAACAGGUACUUGAUAAUCAAUGGAGUUAAUAAACUGAAAUCGUAAAAUGUGAUGUUUAAAAGUUAAAAUAUUAUUUUAUUGUAAAAACAGAAAAUAUUGUCCAAUAAAUCUGUGUUUUUUUCUAUAAUGUAUAAUGUACAUCUAGGAAAUUUAACGUUAAUUUGUACAAAUCUUUCUAUAAAUCUUAAUAAUCUUGAAUAAAUUACAUCAUAGUUUAAAGUAUUUGUAGAGGUUAUCAGUUACAACU
Long non-coding RNA from Myzus persicae (green peach aphid), 3057 nucleotides. RefSeq lists it as uncharacterized. Lineage: Eukaryota; Metazoa; Arthropoda; Insecta; Hemiptera; Aphididae. The transcript has 2 exons. The record is from RefSeq and is a predicted model, not a curated record.